This 97-nucleotide transfer RNA is filed under the name Klebsiella michiganensis. RNAcentral's name for it is "tRNA-Arg". It matches the Rfam family "tRNA". From Rfam's summary of the family: Transfer RNA (tRNA) molecules are approximately 80 nucleotides in length. Their secondary structure includes four short double-helical elements and three loops (D, anti-codon, and T loops). The record is from RNAcentral. Lineage: Bacteria; Pseudomonadati; Pseudomonadota; Gammaproteobacteria; Enterobacterales; Enterobacteriaceae.
GCAUCCGUAGCUCAGCUGGAUAGAGUACUCGGCUACGAACCGAAGUACUCGGCUACGAACCGAGCGGUCGGAGGUUCGAAUCCUCCCGGAUGCACCA